ACUGGGAUAGCUGGGUCAAAUGGUGGUUCCAUUCUCAGUUUUCUGAGGAAUCUCCAUACUGCUUUCCAUAGUGGUUGUAACAAUUUGCAGUCCCACCAGCAAU
RNAcentral lists this microRNA precursor (103 nucleotides) under Marmota monax (woodchuck). Lineage: Eukaryota; Metazoa; Chordata; Mammalia; Rodentia; Sciuridae. The record is from RNAcentral.